This 499-nucleotide ribosomal RNA is filed under the name uncultured bacterium. RNAcentral describes it as "partial 16S ribosomal RNA". It matches the Rfam family "Bacterial small subunit ribosomal RNA", at positions 28 to 507 of the family's 1533-position model. The record is from RNAcentral.
GAUGAACGCUGGCGGCGUGCCUAAUACAUGCAAGUCGAGCGAACAGACGAGAGUGCUUGCACUCUCUGACGUUAGCGGCGGACGGGUGAGUAACACGUGGGUAACCUACCUAUAAGACUGGGAUAACUUCGGGAAACCGGAGCUCAUACCGGAUAAUAUUUAGCUUCGCAUGACGCAAUAGUGAAAGACGGUUCUGCUGUCACUUAUAGAUGGACCCGCGGUGUAUUAGCUAGUUGGUGAGGUAACGGCUCAACAAGGCAACGAUACAUAGCCGACCUGAGAGGGUGAUCGGCCACACUGGGACUGAGACACGGCCCAGACUCCUACGGGAGGCAGCAGUAGGGAAUCUUCCGCAAUGGACGAAAGUCUGACGGAGCAAUGCCGCGUGAGUGAAGAAGGUGUUCGGAUCGUAAAACUCUGUUGUAAGGGAAGAACAAGUACGUUAGUAACUGAACGUACCUUGACGGUACCUUAUCAGAAAGCCACGGCUAACUACGUG